AGUGAACGCUGGCGGUAGGCCUAACACAUGCAAGUCGAACGGCAGCACAGUAAGAGCUUGCUCUUACGGGUGGCGAGUGGCGGACGGGUGAGGAAUACAUCGGAAUCUACUUUUUCGUGGGGGAUAACGUAGGGAAACUUACGCUAAUACCGCAUACGACCUACGGGUGAAAGCAGGGGAUCUUCGGACCUUGCGCGAUUGAAUGAGCCGAUGUCGGAUUAGCUAGUUGGCGGGGUAAAGGCCCACCAAGGCGACGAUCCGUAGCUGGUCUGAGAGGAUGAUAACCAACACGGAACUGGAGACAGGGUCCAGCCCCCAGGGGGAGGAGGCAGUGGGGAAUUGGGGACAAGGGGCGCAGGCCGAACCCAGCAAUCCGGGGGGGGUGAAGAAGGCUUGGGGGUUGUAAAGCCCUUUUGUGGGGAAAAAAAAGAAGCAGUUUAAUCCCCCGCUGUUCGGACGUCCCCAAAAGAAAAAGCCCCGGCUAACUUCGUG
RNAcentral lists this ribosomal RNA (492 nucleotides) under uncultured bacterium. Its description in RNAcentral is "partial 16S ribosomal RNA". It matches the Rfam family "Bacterial small subunit ribosomal RNA", at positions 29 to 507 of the family's 1533-position model. The record is from RNAcentral.